Molecule: long non-coding RNA, 468 nt
Organism: Lethenteron reissneri (Far Eastern brook lamprey)
Lineage: Eukaryota; Metazoa; Chordata; Hyperoartia; Petromyzontiformes; Petromyzontidae
Source: RefSeq, a predicted model, not a curated record
CGCAGCCGCAAUGGCGGCGCACGGAGGGGAGAGGGAGCCCUGAGGAGACGGCGAGACCCGGAAUCCCGUCUGGCGGCCGCCCACAGCAGACGUCCCCUUCCAGACCCUCGCCGUGGCCGACUCGCAGCGCCAGCGCCCCGAGCCGGCCUCCCUGAGCUCGCAGGAGGAUCUCGAGCUUAUUACAGUUGGCCAACUCGGAAUUGGAGCUGGGGCAAACGUCUCCAAGUCAGCAGCCUCUCACCACCGCUUCCACUUCACCUACGGGGUUGUUGACCGGGACCCCGCCUCCCGGGGCUGACUGAAGGCGGGUCUCCUCCUCGUCCUCUCCUUCGUCAAAGGUCAUCUCAGGGUCUCCUCAAGUACCACCAACUCCUCCACGAGGGUCUCCUGCUGUACCACCAACUCCUCCACCAGCGUCUCAAGUACCACCAACUCCUCUACCAGAGUCUCCUCUUCCUCCAGCACCAC